RNAcentral lists this ribosomal RNA (253 nucleotides) under uncultured bacterium. RNAcentral describes it as "partial 16S ribosomal RNA". It matches the Rfam family "Bacterial small subunit ribosomal RNA", at positions 524 to 776 of the family's 1533-position model. The record is from RNAcentral.
UACGUAGGGUGCAAGCGUUGUCCGGAAUUAUUGGGCGUAAAGAGCUCGUAGGCGGUCUGUCGCGUCUGGUGUGAAAAUCCAGGGCUUAACCCUGGACCUGCAUCGGGUACGGGCAGACUAGAGUGCGGUAGGGGAGAUCGGAAUUCCUGGUGUAGCGGUGAAAUGCGCAGAUAUCAGGAGGAACACCGGUGGCGAAGGCAGAUCUCUGGGCCGUAACUGACGCUGAGGAGCGAAAGCAUGGGGAGCGAACAGG